UCUGUGAUGCCCUUAGAUGUUCUGGGCUGCACGCGCGCUACACUGACAAAGUCAGCGAGUAUUACCUUGGCCGAGAGGUCCGGGAAAUCUUGUGAAACUUUGUCGUGCUGGGGAUAGAUCAUUGCAAUUAUUGGUCUUGAACGAGGAAUUCCUAGUAAGCGCAUGUCAUCAGCAUGCGUUGAUUACGUCCCUGCCCUUUGUACACACCGC
Molecule: ribosomal RNA, 210 nt
Filed under: uncultured Macrobiotidae
Lineage: Eukaryota; Metazoa; Tardigrada; Eutardigrada; Parachela; Macrobiotidae
Description: partial 18S ribosomal RNA
Rfam family: Eukaryotic small subunit ribosomal RNA
Source: RNAcentral